RNAcentral lists this ribosomal RNA (253 nucleotides) under uncultured bacterium. RNAcentral's name for it is "partial 16S ribosomal RNA". It matches the Rfam family "Bacterial small subunit ribosomal RNA", at positions 524 to 776 of the family's 1533-position model. The record is from RNAcentral.
UACGAAGGGGGCUAGCGUUGCUCGGAAUCACUGGGCGUAAAGGGUGCGUAGGCGGGUCUUUAAGUCAGGGGUGAAAUCCUGGAGCUCAACUCCAGAACUGCCCUUGAUACUGGCGGUCUCGAGUCCGGGAGAGGUGAGUGGAACUGCGAGUGUAGAGGUGAAAUUCGUAGAUAUUCGCAAGAACACCAGUGGCGAAGGCGGCUCACUGGCCCGGUACUGACGCUGAGGUGCGAAAGCGUGGGGAGCAAACAGG